AUUGAACGCUGGCGGAAUGCUUUACACAUGCAAGUCGAACGGCAGCACGGGGGCAGCCCUGGUGGCGAGUGGCGAACGGGUGAGUAAUACAUCGGAACGUGCCCGGUCGUGGGGGAUAACGUAGCGAAAGUUACGCUAAUACCGCAUCCGAUCUGAGGAUGAAAGCGGGGGACCUUCGGGCCUCGCGCGAUCGGCGCGGCCGAUGUCAGAUUAGGUAGUUGGUGGGGUAAAGGCCUACCAAGCCGACGAUCUGUAGCUGGUCUGAGAGGACGACCAGCCACACUGGGACUGAGACACGGCCCAGACUCCUACGGGAGGCAGCAGUGGGGAAUUUUGGACAAUGGGCGCAAGCCUGAUCCAGCCAUUCCGCGUGCAGGACGAAGGCCUUCGGGUUGUAAACUGCUUUUGUACGGAACGAAAAGGCUCUGGCUAAUACCUGGGGCUCAUGACGGUACCGUAAGAAUAAGCACCGGCUAACUACGUG
RNAcentral lists this ribosomal RNA (484 nucleotides) under uncultured bacterium. RNAcentral describes it as "partial 16S ribosomal RNA". It matches the Rfam family "Bacterial small subunit ribosomal RNA", at positions 30 to 507 of the family's 1533-position model. The record is from RNAcentral.